Molecule: long non-coding RNA, 1072 nt
Filed under: Salmo trutta (river trout)
Lineage: Eukaryota; Metazoa; Chordata; Actinopteri; Salmoniformes; Salmonidae
Description: lncRNA (ENSSTUG00000032686.1)
Source: RNAcentral
UAUGUAAAGACGAGGCAAGCAGAGAUAGGCGUCUCUCUCGCUCUCUCUUUGUUUGUGAGAGAGAGAGAGAGAGAGAGAGAGAGAGAGAGAGAGAGAGAGAGAGAGAGAUAUAUACACACACACAGUAGUCCUACAGAUGGCACUAUACUCACCCAUACAGAUAAUUGAAGCACUCAGCAAUCCCAGGAGAAACAUGAUCUUCUUGAGCUAACUCUCCAUAGACUGUAGCAUAGAAUAGUUGGGUCCUGGAACGCUUCACUUACAACAAGUAGCAGCAAAGGACGCAACCUCGCUCAUGCGCAUAGCAGACGAAGAAGCAGCCCCCAGACCAUUGCUGAAGAAAGAAUCUGCCUGUGGCUGAAUCUAGUUGAUGAUACCUGAUCUAUAGUCUGCUGCCAACCCCCCUGACACAGUGGGUGUCUCUCUACAGCUGUCUUGGGUCUGUCCUCAGAACAUGCACCUCUAUAUCCUAGUGAGUGCCCUUCUCAGCAUCCCUGUCUCUUUGGGUUGGAAUGAAGACUUACAGAUAGUGUGUUCUGGUCGAGAGUUCCGCCUGCCGGUCUACUCAGGCUCAAGAAUCGUGACCUUUACCCCCAGCUACACACCAGGACAACUAAAAGUGCUUCUGGAGAACAACAAUUUGAAGGACCCGCGGUUUGAGUGGACGAAAGAUAGGACGUUGCUGCUGAAUGACGUCACACACCGUGACCAGGGGCUCUACUCUAUCAAACUGUCCUCUGGAUUCACCUAUGAGACCGUUCGCCUCACUGUCUCAGAAUGUAUAAAAACCUUCCGUCUGGGCUAUGGGGAAACCUUUCAGCACAACAUCCCUAAAUAUGGCUCCGUGCUGGAGUUCUCUCCCCGGGGCUCCCCCUCUGACUCCCAGACGGUAUUACUGUGGAACCGGAUGGACCCUGAGACCAGCGAGGCGAGCCGGGGGAGGCUAGGGUCAAGUGGGAGGGUCUGGGUGGCAGAGAGGGUGACCCAGGCAGACCAGGGAAACUACACCCUCCGAGACGAGAAUGGGAAAGUAAUCUCCCGCAGCAAGUUGACUGUCAAUGGUGAGCACUAG